UACGUAGGGUGCGAGCGUUAAUCGGAAUUAAUGGGCGUAAAGCGUGCGCAGGCGGUUCGUUGUGUCUGAUGGGAAAGCCCCGGGCUUAACCUGGGAAUGGCAAUGGAUACUGGCAAGCUAGAGUGCGGUAGAGGGUAGUGGAAUUCCCGGUGUAGCGGUGAAAUGCGUAGAGAUCGGGAGGAACACCAGUGGCGAAGGCGGCUACCUGGACCAGCACUGAUACUGAGGCACGAAAGCGUGGGGAGCAAACAGG
Molecule: ribosomal RNA, 253 nt
Filed under: uncultured bacterium
Lineage: Bacteria
Description: partial 16S ribosomal RNA
Rfam family: Bacterial small subunit ribosomal RNA
Source: RNAcentral